This 249-nucleotide long non-coding RNA is filed under the name Cicer arietinum (chickpea). RNAcentral's name for it is "long non-coding RNA (CARI_LNC000172)". The record is from RNAcentral. Lineage: Eukaryota; Viridiplantae; Streptophyta; Magnoliopsida; Fabales; Fabaceae.
GCUGUCAUAAAGGGAGAAUGUUGCAUAGAAACAAAAUAUUAUUUUUGGAUCUGGCACAAAAUCCAUAUGAGGAUAAUCUAAGUCUGACAUUGUGUGGAUCUAACGCAAAAUCAGGAUGCAUUUGAUCAAAGUAUUUCCAUGUCUGACCGUUAGAUAAAUGUCGCAACACACUUGAAUUUCUUCUAUUAUCAUAAUAUCACGUGAUCUUUCUUGUAGUUUGCAUUGAUGCAAACAUUCUUUGUGAUAUUG